RNAcentral lists this ribosomal RNA (253 nucleotides) under uncultured bacterium. Its description in RNAcentral is "partial 16S ribosomal RNA". It matches the Rfam family "Bacterial small subunit ribosomal RNA", at positions 524 to 776 of the family's 1533-position model. The record is from RNAcentral.
UAGGUAGGGUGCAAGCGUUAAUCGGAAUUACUGGGCGUAAAGCGUGCGAAGGCGGUUUUGUAAGUCUGACGUGAAAUCCCCGGGCUCAACCUGGGAAUUGCGUUGGAGACUGCAAGGCUAGAAUCUGGCAGAGGGGGGUAGAAUUUCACGUGUAGCAGUGAAAUGCGUAGAGAUGUGGAGGAACACCGAUGGCGAAGGCAGCCCCCUGGGUCAAGAUUGACGCUCAUGCACGAAAGCGUGGGGAGCAAACAGG